RNAcentral lists this ribosomal RNA (492 nucleotides) under uncultured bacterium. RNAcentral describes it as "partial 16S ribosomal RNA". It matches the Rfam family "Bacterial small subunit ribosomal RNA", at positions 29 to 507 of the family's 1533-position model. The record is from RNAcentral.
AGUGAACGCUGGCGGUAGGCCUAACACAUGCAGGUCGAACGGCAGCACAGUAAGAGCUUGCUCUUACGGGUGGCGAGUGGCGGACGGGUGAGGAAUACAUCGGAAUCUACUUUUUCGUGGGGGAUAACGUAGGGAAACUUACGCUAAUACCGCAUACGACCUACGGGUGAAAGCAGGGGAUCUUCGGACCUUGCGCGAUUGAAUGAGCCGAUGUCGGAUUAGCUAGUUGGCGGGGUAAAGGCCCACCAAGGCGACGAUCCGUAGCUGGUCUGAGAGGAUGAUCAGCCACACUGGAACUGAGACACGGUCCAGACUCCUACGGGAGGCAGCAGUGGGGAAUAUUGGACAAUGGGCGCAAGCCUGAUGCAGCCAUGCCGCGUGGGUGAAGAAGGCCUUCGGGUUGUAAAGCCCUUUUGUUGGGAAAGAAAAGCAGCAGGUUAAUACCCCGCUGUUCUGACGGUACCCAACGAAUAAGCACCGGCUAACUUCGUG